UACAGAGGGGGCAAGCGUUGUUCGGAAUUACUGGGCGUAAAGGGCGCGUAGGCGGCCUGUUAAGUCGAACGUGAAAUCCCCGGGCUCAACCCGGGAACUGCGUCCGAUACUGGCAGGCUUGAAUCCGGGAGAGGGAUGCGGAAUUCCAGGUGUAGCGGUGAAAUGCGUAGAUAUCAGGAGGAACACCGGCGGUGUAGACGGCUUUCUGGACCGUAGCUGACGCUGAGACACGAAAGCGUGGGGAGCAAACAGG
Molecule: ribosomal RNA, 253 nt
Filed under: uncultured bacterium
Lineage: Bacteria
Description: partial 16S ribosomal RNA
Rfam family: Bacterial small subunit ribosomal RNA
Source: RNAcentral